Molecule: ribosomal RNA, 2048 nt
Filed under: human gut metagenome
Description: bacterial LSU rRNA
Rfam family: Bacterial large subunit ribosomal RNA
Source: RNAcentral
ACUGUGAAGGAAAGGUGAAAAGCACCUCGAACAGAGGAGUGAAAUAGUCCCUGAAACCGUCUGCCUACAAGCGGUCGGAGCAACGUAAGUUGUGACGGCGUGCCUUUUGCAUAAUGAACCUACGAGUUACUUUCUCCGGCAAGGUUAAGGGCUUCAGGCCCGGAGCCGAAGCGAAAGCGAGUCUUAAUAGGGCGUGAUAGUCGGAGUGAGUAGACGCGAAACCAAGUGAUCUACCCUUGGUCAGGAUGAAGGUUGGGUAACACCAACUGGAGGUCCGAAUGGGUAUACGUUGAAAAGUGUUCCAAUGAACUGAGGGUAGGGGUGAAAGGCUAAUCAAACUUGGAGAUAGCUCGUACUCCCCGAAAUGCAUUUAGGUGCAGCCUUUAUUUAGUAUAGCAUGAGGUAGAGCGACUGAUUGGAUGCGAGGGCUUCACCGCCUAUCAAGUCCAGAUAAACUCCGAAUGCGUGCUAUAUAUUGAUAAGGAGUGAGGGCGCGGGUGCUAAGGUCCGCGUCCGAGAGGAGAAGAAUCCAGACCAUCAGCUAAGGUCCCCAAAUAACAGUUAAGUUGAACUAACGAAGUCGGACUGCAGAGACAGCUAGGAUGUUGGCUUGGAAGCAGCCAUUCAUUUAAAGAGUGCGUAACAGCUCACUAGUCGAGGAGUCCGGCGUGGAUAAUACUCGGGCAUAAACUGUUUACCGAAGCUAUGGAUGUAGAAAUACAUGGUAGGGGAGCAUUCCAACGGCGUCGAAGGUGAAGGAUGACCUUUGCUGGAGCUUUUGGAAACGCAAAUGUAGGUAUAAGUAACGAUAAAGGAGGUGAGAAACCUCCUCGCCGAAAGACUAAGGUUUCCUGAUCAACGUUAAUCGGAUCAGGGUAAGUCGGGACCUAAGGUUAAGCCGAACGGCGAUACCGAUGGAAGAAUGGUUUAAUAUUCCCAUACUACUUUAUGGAGCGAUGUGGAGACGGAGAAGUGAAAGUCCUGCCAUCUGACGGAAUAGGUGGUUGAAGAGUGUAGAUGUAGAUUCCUGUAGGCAAAUCCGCAGGGAGAGUCGACCUUGAUAGUAUGCCGCGUGCUUGCACAAGGCAAAAUGGACGUAAUCAGGCUCCCAAGAAAAUCCGCUAAGCAUAUUCAUAAAGUACCCGUACCGUAAACGGACACACGUAGUUGGGUUGAAAAUACUGAGGCGCUCGAGUGAUUCACGGUUAAGGAACUAGGCAAAUUGACCCUGUAACUUCGGGAUAAAGGGUCCCUACUGAGAGGUAGGGCGCAGAGAAUAGGUCCAGGCAACUGUUUAACAAAAACACAUGGCUGUGCGAAAUGGAAACAUGAGGUAUACAGCCUGACACCUGCCCGGUGCUGGAAGGUUAAGAGGAGAUGUCAUCGCGAGAGAAGCGUUGAAUUGAAGCCCCAGUAAACGGCGGCCGUAACUAUAACGGUCCUAAGGUAGCGAAAUUCCUUGUCGGGUAAGUUCCGACCUGCACGAAUGGUGUAAUGAUCUGGACACUGUCUCAACCGUGAGCUCAGUGAAAUUGUAGUAUCGGUGAAGAUGCCGAUUACCCGCGAUGGGACGAAAAGACCCCGUGAACCUUUACUAUAGCUUUACAUUGAAUUUGGGCAAUCGAUGUGUAGGAUAGGCCGGAGACCGUGAAGCAGGUACGCCAGUAUUUGUGGAGUCGCCGUUGAAAUACGGCCCUUUGGUUGUUUGAGUUCUAACCCGCAGAAGCGGGGACACUGUAUGGUGGGUAGUUUGACUGGGGUGGUCGCCUCCAAAAGAGUAACGGAGGCUUCUAAAGGUACCCUCAGACCGAUUGGUAACCGGUCGCAGAGUGUAAUGGCAUAAGGGUGCUUGACUGGGAGACAGACAAGUCGAUCAGGUAGGAAACUAGAGCAUAGUGAUCCGGUGGUUCCGCAUGGAAGGGCCAUCGCUCAAAGGAUAAAAGGUACUCCGGGGAUAACAGGCUGAUCGCUCCCAAGAGCUCAUAUCGACGGAGCGGUUUGGCACCUCGAUGUCGGCUCGUCACAUCCUGGGGCUGGAGAAGGUCCCA